GCCGACGUAGCUCAAUUGGUAGAGCAACGGUUUUGUAAACCGUCGGUUCAGGGUUCAAGUCCCUGCGUCGGCUCCA
RNAcentral lists this transfer RNA (76 nucleotides) under Oscillochloris sp. RNAcentral describes it as "tRNA-Thr". It matches the Rfam family "tRNA". From Rfam's summary of the family: Transfer RNA (tRNA) molecules are approximately 80 nucleotides in length. Their secondary structure includes four short double-helical elements and three loops (D, anti-codon, and T loops). The record is from RNAcentral. Lineage: Bacteria; Bacillati; Chloroflexota; Chloroflexia; Chloroflexales; Oscillochloridaceae.